GUCUCUGGAAGGCUGAGCCAAGAUGUCGGAAUAAGGAAGGAACUUACUGAGUUCUCCCAAAUUAAUCUCCAAACAACUAUUUUUAAAAUGCCUCUAAACAAAUUCUGCAGACAAACAAAAUCAGCAGAACAACAAAAAGAUGAGGCAAAACAAUUUCUUGUCACAAGACUAUAGAAGGUUGGCAAGAAAAGAUCCAUUUCACUGAGGAAGAAGAGUGCUCCAUCCAGCAAACAUCUUUUCUCUCUCCAUCCUUUGGAUAGCAAACACAUCAACAUUAUAAUUUAUUGACUCCUGCUUCCCUAGCCCUUGAUCUGCUGCAACCUGGCUCUGACAUCAUUUCUACUGAAUGGAUCUUUAAAAGUUACCAACCCAGCUAACCUUGCAAUAUCCAACAAUAUCUUGGAGAACAUCAUGGUGAAAGGCACGAGAACAAGCAAGCACACAGUCCUGCUUUAUUUGUCAGUUAUGAAGACUUUUAGAAGAUUACAGUGAAAUAUGCUUGCCCAGAGAUAUUCAUCAGUAUUGUAUACCAGUUCAGUGAUGGCAUGCAGCCUACAGGCUCCUGAAAUGGUUAUGGAGAAAUCUAAUGACAGAGCUUGAUUGAAAAUACACUGGUAUUCAUGCAUUCACGUGACAAUUUUGGCUAACAUGAUGACUACAUAAAAGGAUAAAAACACAAGUUCUUUCCUCGGGAAUGAAAAGAUUGAAUUUGUUACUUAGUCUGGAUAAUUGGAUUUUAUUUCUGUGAAAAUAAUUCAAAGGAAGAUUUCAAGAUAAACCCAAGUGAUUCCCACCCCUCUUCUCCAAACUACUGCAACCACCUCCUCAAAACAGUUGUUAGUCAAUAUACUGAGUCAAGGAUGCUAAAACCAGAGUGAAGACAAUAUAUCUUACCUUUGUGUAUGCUAAUGAUGUUCAGCUUCAUUGGCCAUCAUGGAAGUUUCCAACUCCAGUCCUCUAAAUCCUACAUCCAAAAAGUGCAAGGUGUCUCAAUAAGUGAUCUAAGUUUUGAUAGCAUCAUCAACUAGCAGCACCUAUAUAAAGUGUAAAGCCCUUUUUAAAAGUUUUAAAGGUCUUAUGGACGCUUUGGGGCUACUAAAUACUAUGCAAAUUUUGCUUUAUCUACACAAACUGCUUCAGACAAAUGUAGAAGCCACUCUUUAUCUUCGGAAUGAAGUCCAAGGGGAGUCUCAACCUUUAUCUUUGUACUGAGUGGGUUGGGUAAUGCAAAUGUAUAUGGUCUGUCCUUGGCAAAGAAAAAGUGCAACAAGUUGUACAUGAAUUAAGUCUUUAUAAAAGUACUAGAGAACAAAAUUUUUUUUUUGCAAUGCAACAAUCAUUGUAUUAGACCGAUUCUUGAGGUUGGGGAUCAUAGUAUGGGGGGGGGGGGGAGUCAAACAAAGAAAUUGGCCUUAUCUUGAAGAUUUUGAUUAUGUGAUUACUACUGCUGUGCUGAGGUAACCUUGAUGUAUCCUGACAGUUCAUAUGAAUAGUCCUCUAAUGGACUACACUUUUGUAUUCAUCAAGGAAGAUCUGGUGAAGCAAUGCAGUACCUCUGGAAACAGUGGAGGUUGAUAGCCCUUUUUCACCAUUAAAGGUCAUGGAAACAUUUCUUCACAGGAGAGCCAGGAUGAUUGGUUACAUCAAAUUAAAAAGAGUUUGUACAAACAAAACUAAUGCAUCCAAAAUUAGAAGGGAAGCAACAAAUUGGGAAACAAUCUUCAUUACAAGAACCUCUGACAAAGGUCUAAUUACUCAAAUUUAUAAAGAGCUAAACCAAUUGUACAAAAAAUCAAGCCAUUCUCCAAUUGAUAAAUGGGCAAGGGAAAUGGAUAGGCAGCUUUCAGAUGAAGAAAUCAAAACUAAGUACAUGGAAAAGGGUUCUAAAUCUCUUAUAAUCAGAGAAAUGCAAAUCAAAACAACUCUGAGGUAUCACCUCACACCUAGCAGAUUGGCUAACAUGACAGCAAAGGAAAAUAAUGCUGGAUGGGGAUGUGGUAAAGUAGGGAAAUUAAUGCAUUGCUGGUGGAGUUGUGAAUUGAUCCAACCAUUCUGGAGGGCAAUAUGGAACUAUGCCCAAAGGGUGCUAAAAGACUGUCUGCCCUGUGAUCCAGCAAUAGCACUGCUGGGUUUGUACCCCCAGAGAGAUAAGGAAAAAGACAUGUACAAAAAUAUUCAUAGCUGCACUCUGUGGUGGCAAAAAAUUGGAAAACUAGGGGAUGCCCAUCAAUUGGGGAAUGGCUGAACAAAUUGUGGUAUAUGUUGGUGAUGGAAUACUAUUGUGCUCAAAGGAAUAAUAAAGUGGAGGAAUUCCAUGGAGACUGGAACAACCUCCAGGAAUUGAUGCAGAGGGAAAGGAGCAGAACCAGGAAAACAUUGUACACAGAGACUGAUACACUGUGGUUCAAUCGAAUGUAAUGGACUUCUCCAUUAGUGACAAUGCAAUGACCCUGAACUUGGAGGGAUCUAUGAGAAAGAACAUUAACCACAUUCAGAGGAAACACUGUGGGAGUAAAAACAUCAAAGAACAACAACUGCUUGAAUACAUGGGUCGAAGGGAUAUGGUUGGGGAUGUAGACUCUAAAUGAACAUCCUAGUGCAAACAAUAACAUGGAAAUAGGUUCUAAUCAAGGACAAGUAAUACCCAAUAAAAUUGUGUGUUGGCUGUGGGCAGGGUGGGUGGAGGGGAGGGAGGGAAAUAAAGUGAGUAUU
Monodelphis domestica (gray short-tailed opossum) is the source of this 2712-nucleotide non-coding RNA. The record is from RefSeq and is a predicted model, not a curated record. Lineage: Eukaryota; Metazoa; Chordata; Mammalia; Didelphimorphia; Didelphidae.